AUUGAACGCUGGCGGCAGGCCUAACACAUGCAAGUCGAACGAGUGGCGGACGGGUGAGUAAUGUCUGGGAAACUGCACGAUGGAGGGGGAUAACUACUGGAAACGGUAGCUAAUACAGCCUACCAUCGAAUGUGCCCAGAUGGGAUUAGCGAGUAGGUGGGGUCACGGCUCACCUCGGAGACGAUACCUAGCUGGGCUGAGAGGAUGAACAGCCACACUGCAACGGUGCCACGGUCCAGACUCCGACGGGAGCCAGCAGUGGGGAAUAUGGCACAAGGGGCGCAAGCCUGAUGCAGCCAUGCCGCGUGUAUGAAGAAGGCCUUCGGGUUGUAAAGUACUUUCAGCGAGGAGGCGUUACUCGCAGAAGAAGCACCGGCUAACUCCGUGCCAGCAGCCGCGGUAAUAC
RNAcentral lists this ribosomal RNA (406 nucleotides) under uncultured bacterium. Its description in RNAcentral is "partial 16S ribosomal RNA". It matches the Rfam family "Bacterial small subunit ribosomal RNA", at positions 29 to 526 of the family's 1533-position model. The record is from RNAcentral.